UACGUAGGGGGCAAGCGUUGUCCGGAAUUACUGGGCGUAAAGGGCUCGUAGGCGGCCAACUAAGUCAGACGUGAAAUCCCUCGGCUUAACCGGGGAACUGCGUCUGAUACUGGAUGGCUUGAGUUUGGGAGAGGGAUGCGGAAUUCCAGGUGUAGCGGUGAAAUGCGUAGAUAUCUGGAGGAACACCGGUGGCGAAGGCGGCAUCCUGGACCAACACUGACGCUGAGACGCGAAAGCGUGGGGAGCAAACAGG
RNAcentral lists this ribosomal RNA (253 nucleotides) under uncultured bacterium. Its description in RNAcentral is "partial 16S ribosomal RNA". It matches the Rfam family "Bacterial small subunit ribosomal RNA", at positions 524 to 776 of the family's 1533-position model. The record is from RNAcentral.